CGUUUGAGCGCUCGCGCGCGGCGACCCGUCUGUCUUUUUUUUUUUUUUUUUAAUGUAACCUGGUUCAUUGGGCUCUCGGCGUAUUCUUGCGUUCCUUCUGCACUGGGACAAGACACCACUGCACUAUUGGACUUCGGCGAGCUGGUGCCGUCCGGUGGAGCUUCAUACAGGAACUACUGCCUUACCUGCUGGUGUCACAACGUUGGAUGAACGCGCAAAAAGCGCGGAACGAGCUUUUAUAUACAGCAAAAUAAAUAUUUCCUCAUUGCACAAAA
Molecule: long non-coding RNA, 275 nt
Organism: Dermacentor silvarum
Lineage: Eukaryota; Metazoa; Arthropoda; Arachnida; Ixodida; Ixodidae
Exons: 2
Source: RefSeq, a predicted model, not a curated record